CCUACGGGGGGCAGCAGUGGGGAAUAUUGCACAAUGGGCGCAAGCCUGAUGCAGCCAUGCCGCGUGUGUAAAGAAGGCCUUCGGGUUGUAAAGCACUUUCAGCGGGGAGGAAGGCGGUGAGGUUAAUAACCUCAUCGAUUGACGUUACCCGCAGAAGAAGCACCGGCUAACUCCGUGCCAGCAGCCGCGGUAAUACGGAGGGUGCAAGCGUUAAUCGGAAUUACUGGGCGUAAAGCGCACGCAGGCGGUCUGUCAAGUCGGAUGUGAAAUCCCCGGGCUCAACCUGGGAACUGCAUUCGAAACUGGCAGGCUAGAGUCUUGUAGAGGGGGGUAGAAUUCCAGGUGUAGCGGUGAAAUGCGUAGAGAUCUGGAGGAAUACCGGUGGCGAAGGCGGCCCCCUGGACAAAGACUGACGCUCAGGUGCGAAAGCGUGGGGAGCAAACAGGAUUAGAUACCCGAGUAGUC
RNAcentral lists this ribosomal RNA (465 nucleotides) under uncultured Klebsiella sp. RNAcentral describes it as "bacterial SSU rRNA". It matches the Rfam family "Bacterial small subunit ribosomal RNA", at positions 338 to 795 of the family's 1533-position model. The record is from RNAcentral. Lineage: Bacteria; Pseudomonadati; Pseudomonadota; Gammaproteobacteria; Enterobacterales; Enterobacteriaceae.